UCUAUUGACAACUUAUAAUUUACGUCGAAUUUUUAUCGGAGUUUCCAUUGCAAGGGAGAUGAAAGUAUGUCCUACAUUUAUGUCACGGACCAGUAUUUUGUAAUAGAUUUCGGACAAAUCUGACUAAAUGUAUUUCGAAACUCUCGAUAAGAAGUGGUUUUCCUGAGACAUCGUUCUUACCACAGCUGGAAUUUUAUCAUUAAAUCACAUAGGUGGCGCCUUUAGUGGCUAUAUAAUAUAAGAAGGACUUAUUUACAGACCAUUUACUACAGAAGGAAUUUUAGAUAUAUACUUAGGAUGAAAGUGAUCAUAUUUUUAGGUUUAGUUGGGUCCAUUUAUGGAUUUAAUUUGGGGGGAAUCAUUGCAGGAGGUGUAGGUCAUGUUGAUUCCAACGACGCAGGACUCAUGGGAGCUGUCAACGACGCUAGUAAAAGCGUUAAUAUGAUGUCAAACAAUAUGAUGCAUCUGACCACAGUUCAUGUCUCUCAUGCAACUAAACAGGUUAUUAGAGGAUUGAAAUAUACAUUCGACGUGUCAUUCAAAGAAGCAAGCGCAUGUAAAAACACACAAGAACAUUAUUACGCUACAUUAACAGAAUGCCCACCUGCUGACGGUGUCCAAACAAUGCAUUUCCAUUGUUCGGUUAUAGAUGUUGCCUGGGAAACACCUAGGUAUACCACAACAUGUACCAUGAAAUAAAGAACAAAUGGAAGAAGACGCCAAAUCAUGGAAUAAACAUUUACCUUUGUUUUAUAUAUGAAUGAAAAUAUAUAUUUACGAUCAAGUAUUAUACAUUUUAAAGUACAACAGUCUAAAAACGUUGAAGAAAAUACAAAUAAAUAAAUUUAUGUUAUUGUUCUUGAA
This is a long non-coding RNA of Mytilus californianus (California mussel), 864 nucleotides long. RefSeq lists it as uncharacterized. NCBI's taxonomy places the organism in Eukaryota, Metazoa, Mollusca, Bivalvia, Mytilida, Mytilidae. The record is from RefSeq and is a predicted model, not a curated record. The transcript is spliced from 4 exons.